CUACGUGCCAGCAGCCGCGGUAAUACGUAGGGGGCAAGCGUUAUCCGGAUUUACUGGGUGUAAAGGGAGCGCAGACGGUUGCGCAAGUCUGAAGUGAAAUCCCGAGGCUUAACCACGGGACUGCUUUGGAAACUGUGCGACUUGAGUAUCGGAGGGGCAGGCGGAAUUCCUAGUGUAGCGGUGAAAUGCUUAGAUAUUAGGAAGAACACCGGUGGCGAAGGCGGCCUGCUGGACCAAAACUGACGCUGAGGCUCGAAAGCGUGGGUAGCAAACAGGAUUAGAUACCCUGGUAGUCCACGCUGUAAACGAUGAAUACUAGGUGCUGGGAGGCAUAAGCCUUUCGGUGCCGUCGCAAACGCAUUAAGUAUUCCACCUGGGGAGUACGUUCGCAAGAAUGAAACUCAAAGGAAUUGACGGGGACCCGCACAAGCGGUGGAGCAUGUGGUUUAAUUCGACGCAACGCGAAGAACCUUACCCGGUCUUGAGAUCC
Molecule: ribosomal RNA, 490 nt
Filed under: uncultured bacterium
Lineage: Bacteria
Description: bacterial SSU rRNA
Rfam family: Bacterial small subunit ribosomal RNA
Source: RNAcentral